RNAcentral lists this ribosomal RNA (484 nucleotides) under uncultured bacterium. RNAcentral's name for it is "partial 16S ribosomal RNA". It matches the Rfam family "Bacterial small subunit ribosomal RNA", at positions 30 to 507 of the family's 1533-position model. The record is from RNAcentral.
AUUGAACGCUGGCGGCAGGCCUAACACAUGCAAGUCGAGCGGAUGAAGGGAGCUUGCUCCUGGAUUCAGCGGCGGACGGGUGAGUAAUGCCUAGGAAUCUGCCUGGUAGUGGGGGAUAACGUCCGUAAACGGGCGCUAAUACCGCAUACGUCCUGAUGGAGAAAGUGGGGGAUCUUCGGACCUCACGCUAUCAGAUGAGCCUAGGUCGGAUUAGCUAGUUGGUGGGGUAAAGGCCUACCAAGGCGACGAUCCGUAACUGGUCUGAGAGGAUGAUCAGUCACACUGGAACUGAGACACGGUCCAGACUCCUACGGGAGGCAGCAGUGGGGAAUAUUGGACAAUGGGCGAAAGCCUGAUCCAGCCAUGCCGCGUGUGUGAAGAAGGUCUUCGGAUUGUAAAGCACUUUAAGUUGGGAGGAAGGGCAGUAAGUUAAUACCUUGCUGUUUUGACGUUACCAACAGAAUAAGCACCGGCUAACUUCGUG